RNAcentral lists this ribosomal RNA (479 nucleotides) under uncultured bacterium. RNAcentral's name for it is "bacterial LSU rRNA". It matches the Rfam family "Bacterial large subunit ribosomal RNA", at positions 691 to 1166 of the family's 2925-position model. The record is from RNAcentral.
GGCGAUAAGUUGCGUGACGCAGACCCGAAACCUUAGCGAUCUAUCCAUGGGCAGGUUGAAGGGUGGGUAACACCGCCUGGAGGACCGAACUCACCAUAGUUGAAAAUAUGGGGGAUGACCUGUGGAUAGGAGUGAAAGGCUAAUCAAGCUGGGAGAUAGCUGGUUCUCCCCGAAAUAUAUUGAGGUAUAGCCUCGGACGAAUUGCGCUGGAGGUAAAGCACUGAAUGGGCUAGGGGUCCUACCAGACUACCAAACCCAAUCAAACUCUGAAUGCCAGCGACAACUAUCCGGGAGUCAGGCUGCGGGAGAUAAGUUCCGUAAGCCGAGAGGGAAAGAGCCCAGAUUGUCAGCUAAGGUCCCAAAGUCCGGACCUAAGUGUUAAAGGAUGUGGAAGCGCUCCGACAAUCAGGAGGUUGGCUUAGAAGCAGCCAUCCUUUAAAGAAAGCGUAAUAGCUCACUGAUCAAGCGAGUCUGCGCCG